AAUAGUUUCGUACCACAAAAUGUGGCACUCUUCAGAUAAAUUGACCUAAGAAGAAGAAGAGUGCCACAUUUUGUGGUACGAAACUAUU
Paramuricea clavata is the source of this 88-nucleotide non-coding RNA. The record is from the annotation of a GenBank genome assembly. NCBI's taxonomy places the organism in Eukaryota, Metazoa, Cnidaria, Anthozoa, Malacalcyonacea, Plexauridae.